This 2803-nucleotide ribosomal RNA is filed under the name Klebsiella quasipneumoniae. RNAcentral describes it as "partial 23S ribosomal RNA". It matches the Rfam family "Bacterial large subunit ribosomal RNA". Lineage: Bacteria; Pseudomonadati; Pseudomonadota; Gammaproteobacteria; Enterobacterales; Enterobacteriaceae. The record is from RNAcentral.
GGGUUGUGAGGUUAAGCGACUAAGCGUACACGGUGGAUGCCCUGGCAGUCAGAGGCGAUGAAGGACGUGCUAAUCUGCGAAAAGCGUCGGUAAGGUGAUAUGAACCGUUAUAACCGGCGAUGUCCGAAUGGGGAAACCCAGUGUGAUUCGUCACACUAUCGUUAACUGAAUACAUAGGUUAACGAGGCGAACCGGGGGAACUGAAACAUCUAAGUACCCCGAGGAAAAGAAAUCAACCGAGAUUCCCCCAGUAGCGGCGAGCGAACGGGGAGCAGCCCAGAGUCUGAAUCAGCUUGUGUGUUAGUGGAACGGUCUGGAAAGUCCGACGGUACAGGGUGAUAGUCCCGUACACCAAAAUGCACAGGUUGUGAACUCGAAGAGUAGGGCGGGACACGUGGUAUCCUGUCUGAAUAUGGGGGGACCAUCCUCCAAGGCUAAAUACUCCUGACUGACCGAUAGUGAACCAGUACCGUGAGGGAAAGGCGAAAAGAACCCCGGCGAGGGGAGUGAAAAAGAACCUGAAACCGUGUACGUACAAGCAGUGGGAGCACCUUCGGGUGUGACUGCGUACCUUUUGUAUAAUGGGUCAGCGACUUAUAUUCUGUAGCAAGGUUAACCGUAUAGGGGAGCCGCAGGGAAACCGAGUCUUAACUGGGCGUUAAGUUGCAGGGUAUAGACCCGAAACCCGGUGAUCUAGCCAUGGGCAGGUUGAAGGUUGGGUAACACUAACUGGAGGACCGAACCGACUAAUGUUGAAAAAUUAGCGGAUGACUUGUGGCUGGGGGUGAAAGGCCAAUCAAACCGGGAGAUAGCUGGUUCUCCCCGAAAGCUAUUUAGGUAGCGCCUCGUGAACUCAUCUUCGGGGGUAGAGCACUGUUUCGGCUAGGGGGUCAUCCCGACUUACCAACCCGAUGCAAACUACGAAUACCGAAGAAUGUUAUCACGGGAGACACACGGCGGGUGCUAACGUCCGUCGUGAAGAGGGAAACAACCCAGACCGCCAGCUAAGGUCCCAAAGUCAUGGUUAAGUGGGAAACGAUGUGGGAAGGCACAGACAGCCAGGAUGUUGGCUUAGAAGCAGCCAUCAUUUAAAGAAAGCGUAAUAGCUCACUGGUCGAGUCGGCCUGCGCGGAAGAUGUAACGGGGCUAAACCAUGCACCGAAGCUGCGGCAGCGACACGAUGUGUUGUUGGGUAGGGGAGCGUUCUGUAAGCCUGCGAAGGUGACCUGUGAGGGUUGCUGGAGGUAUCAGAAGUGCGAAUGCUGACAUAAGUAACGAUAAAGCGGGUGAAAAGCCCGCUCGCCGGAAGACCAAGGGUUCCUGUCCAACGUUAAUCGGGGCAGGGUGAGUCGACCCCUAAGGCGAGGCCGAAAGGCGUAGUCGAUGGGAAACAGGUUAAUAUUCCUGUACUUGGUGUUACUGCGAAGGGGGGACGGAGAAGGCUAUGUUAGCCGGGCGACGGUUGUCCCGGUUUAAGCAUGUAGGCUGGUUAUCCAGGCAAAUCCGGAUAAUCAAGGCUGAGGUGUGAUGACGAGGCACUACGGUGCUGAAGUAACAAAUGCCCUGCUUCCAGGAAAAGCCUCUAAGCAUCAGGUAACAUCAAAUCGUACCCCAAACCGACACAGGUGGUCAGGUAGAGAAUACCAAGGCGCUUGAGAGAACUCGGGUGAAGGAACUAGGCAAAAUGGUGCCGUAACUUCGGGAGAAGGCACGCUGGUGUGUAGGUGAAGUCCCUGCGGAUGGAGCUGAGACCAGUCGAAGAUACCAGCUGGCUGCAACUGUUUAUUAAAAACACAGCACUGUGCAAACACGAAAGUGGACGUAUACGGUGUGACGCCUGCCCGGUGCCGGAAGGUUAAUUGAUGGGGUUAUCCGUAAGGAGAAGCUCUUGAUCGAAGCCCCGGUAAACGGCGGCCGUAACUAUAACGGUCCUAAGGUAGCGAAAUUCCUUGUCGGGUAAGUUCCGACCUGCACGAAUGGCGUAAUGAUGGCCAGGCUGUCUCCACCCGAGACUCAGUGAAAUUGAACUCGCUGUGAAGAUGCAGUGUACCCGCGGCAAGACGGAAAGACCCCGUGAACCUUUACUAUAGCUUGACACUGAACAUUGAGCCUUGAUGUGUAGGAUAGGUGGGAGGCUUUGAAGCGUGGACGCCAGUCUGCGUGGAGCCAACCUUGAAAUACCACCCUUUAAUGUUUGAUGUUCUAACGUUGGCCCCUUACCGGGGUUGCGGACAGUGUCUGGUGGGUAGUUUGACUGGGGCGGUCUCCUCCCAAAGCGUAACGGAGGAGCACGAAGGUUAGCUAAUCCUGGUCGGACAUCAGGAGGUUAGUGCAAUGGCAUAAGCUAGCUUGACUGCGAGCGUGACGGCGCGAGCAGGUGCGAAAGCAGGUCAUAGUGAUCCGGUGGUUCUGAAUGGAAGGGCCAUCGCUCAACGGAUAAAAGGUACUCCGGGGAUAACAGGCUGAUACCGCCCAAGAGUUCAUAUCGACGGCGGUGUUUGGCACCUCGAUGUCGGCUCAUCACAUCCUGGGGCUGAAGUAGGUCCCAAGGGUAUGGCUGUUCGCCAUUUAAAGUGGUACGCGAGCUGGGUUUAGAACGUCGUGAGACAGUUCGGUCCCUAUCUGCCGUGGGCGCUGGAGAAUUGAGGGGGGCUGCUCCUAGUACGAGAGGACCGGAGUGGACGCAUCACUGGUGUUCGGGUUGUCAUGCCAAUGGCACUGCCCGGUAGCUAAAUGCGGAAGAGAUAAGUGCUGAAAGCAUCUAAGCACGAAACUUGCCCCGAGAUGAGUUCUCCCUGAGACU